RNAcentral lists this long non-coding RNA (1696 nucleotides) under Cicer arietinum (chickpea). RNAcentral's name for it is "long non-coding RNA (CARI_LNC001532)". The record is from RNAcentral. Lineage: Eukaryota; Viridiplantae; Streptophyta; Magnoliopsida; Fabales; Fabaceae.
UCAUGAUUUGCUAGCAAAAAUAUUUUAAUCCAAAUUUGAGCAAUUGAAGGAUGAUGUGAUUAACAAAGGGAUUUUAGGAAAAAAUAAAAGUUACAUAUACGUAACUGAGUUUUAGAAACAUGGACUGCCACAUGUGCAUAUGUUGUUGAUUUUGGACAAUAAGGACAAAUUAUGUGACCUAGAAGAGUACGAAAGUGUGGUUACAACAAAAAUAUCAAAGAUAGAAUCAUAAUCAUAAUUACAUGAGACAGUACUAAAACACAUGAUUCAUAGACCUUGUAGUAGACUCAACCAUAAUUCUCCAUGCAUGAAUAAUGGAGAAUUAUCCAAAGGAACAAUUGGAAGAGACACAACAAGCCAAUGACUCAUAUCCACAAUAUGGAAGAAGGUUUGAUGAACCUACAUCUAUAAAUAGAAACAAGUUAGUUGACAAUAGAUGGGUUGUUCCUUAUAACCCUUGGCUAUUGUUAAAAUAUGAUUGUCACAUCAAUGUGCAGGUUUGCAGUAGCAUCAAAAGCAUAAAGUAUACAUGCAAGUAUGUUUACAAAAGCUCUAGUCGAGUUGCAAUAGAGGUUCAUAAAGGGUCAAGUAUGAAUGAGAUAUAACAAUAUGUUGAUGCAAGAUAGAUUUGUGCACCGAAUACCUUAUGGAAAAUAUUUUGAUUCACUAUUUACCAUUUAUAUCCCUUUGUUGAAAGAUAAAAAAUCCACAUAUAGAAUCAUUAUCAUGUACAAUUUUUUAAUCAACAAAGAAUUGCAAAUAUAUAUAAAUAAUGACAAAAACUCCAAAGCAAUGCUCACACAAUUCGUUGCACUAAAUCAAACAGAUAUAAAAGCUAGAAAUUAUUUGUACAAACAGAUUCAUGACUAUUAUUAAUGGAACCAGAGGAAUAAGGAAUGGUGUUGAAUGCAAUUAAAGAGAAAAGUUUUUGGUCGGAUCUAUACAAUAUCACCUUCAGAAGGAGAAACAUUUUAUUUGUGUGUUUUGUUGUCUCAUGUCAGAGGAUCAACUAAUUGGGGAUAUCUUCUUACAAAUAACAAUAAUUGAUUUCCUACAUUCAAACAAGCAGCGAAGGGUAUCUAAAGACUGAUAAAAAUAUUCAUGAAUGCUUAGUUGAGGCAUCAAAUUACUGAAAGUCAUAUACCAUAAGGAGAUUGUUUGUGACUAUAUUAGUUUUUUGUGCACCAACAAAUAUUACAUGACUUUUAAAUGACUUUUACUCUCACAUGAUAUAAGAUCAUUAAUCGACAAAUAUAGUCAUAGGAUCAAGUUUAACUAAUAUGUUAUUGAGGGAUUUGAACGUGUUCUUGGUUCCAUUUGAAAAGUCCAUAAAAAAUAUGAUAUCCCACCAUUGCAAAAGGUAACUACAGAAGAUAACACACUGUCAAGGGUUGUAGAAGAAGAAUUAUCAAUCUAAAUUUCCAAUGAAGAAAUGGAGUCUAUUAAUAAGUUAAAUAAUGAUCAGACGAUAACUUUUAGAAUCAUUGUGAAUGUUAUACUUACCCCAAAAAAUGAUGAUGUAAAAAAAUUGAAUGAUAUAAUUAUCAAUCAAUUUUCUAUAGAAGAACAAAAUUUGCUAUCGUUUGAUAGGGACACCCACAACUGAUAUCUACAAGAAUUCUUAAACUCAAUUGAUCAAGGUAGUUUGCCAACACAUAUUUUAAAAGUCAAGAGAGGUGCACCAUUUAUGUUGGUG